AUUGAACGCUGGCGGCAUGCUUUACACAUGCAAGUCGAACGGCAGCGCGGGCUUCGGCCUGGCGGCGAGUGGCGAACUGGUGAGUAAUGCAUCGGAACGUGCCCGCUAGUGGGGGAUAGCCCGGCGAAAGCCGGAUUAAUACCGCAUACGACCUGAGGGUGCAAGCGGGGGCCCGAACGGCCCCCCGUGUUUGCCAGGCCGGAGGUCGGUUUGGCUAGUUGGUGGGGUAAAGGCUUACCAAGGCGACGAUCCGUAGCUGGUCUGAGAGGACGACCAGCCACACUGGGACUGAGACACGGCCCAGACUCCUACGGGAGGCAGCAGUGGGGAAUUUUGGACAAUGGGGGCAACCCUGAUCCAGCCAUGCCGCGUGCGGGAAGAAGGCCUUCGGGUUGUAAACCGCUUUUGUUCGGGAAGAAAUCCUCUGGGCUAAUACCCCGGGGGGAUGACGGUACCGGAAGAAUAAGCACCGGCUAACUACGUG
Molecule: ribosomal RNA, 484 nt
Filed under: uncultured bacterium
Lineage: Bacteria
Description: partial 16S ribosomal RNA
Rfam family: Bacterial small subunit ribosomal RNA
Source: RNAcentral